Molecule: transfer RNA, 76 nt
Filed under: Camelus bactrianus (Bactrian camel)
Lineage: Eukaryota; Metazoa; Chordata; Mammalia; Artiodactyla; Camelidae
Also listed under: 2 other names
Rfam family: tRNA
About the family: Transfer RNA (tRNA) molecules are approximately 80 nucleotides in length. Their secondary structure includes four short double-helical elements and three loops (D, anti-codon, and T loops).
Source: Rfam by way of RNAcentral
GAAGGUAUAGCCAGCUCAGUGGUAGAGUGCGUCCCUAGUUUGCAUGAGGUCCUGGGUUCAAUCCCCAGUACUUCCA